UGGGAAGAGAAGGUGAUGGUGAGAUGAGGACGCAUUAGGACUUGAGGAACACCACCUCUCCUCAGGAGUCGGCCUAUGAACAGUCGAGUUUCUGGUGUCACCGCAGCACCUCAUCUCCAGGCCAGGGGUCUGCUGCCCUGGGAACCUGUCCCUGCUUGCCAGCACUGCUGGGGCAGAGCAGGCAGCUCUAGGACUCACACAGGCUCUCAGUGGCUUUGUCUUUCAAAGCAGACCUCUACCUGCCCUGUGGUAUUUUGGUGUUACACAGCCAAUCUGCCAAAUGACCUUGUUUGCAUGGGGCAUAAUGGCUUCACUAGAAAUCCUCUUUCUCAGGAUGAAAGAUGCAUACAGGGGGAAAAUAAGAAAAUCCCAGUGCCUUUCCACACUUCCAUGCACCUGUGGUAAACUCCCCUUCCAAAGCACAACAUCCUCUCCUCCUUGGAGAAACACCAAGUCCAGCCUGCUUGUUCCUCGCCAGGGGCUACAGCCAGGCUUGAUGAUGCUGUAGCAGAGAUUGCACUCCAGCCCUCAUUUUCCCUUGGCAAGAGGACAGCCCCUCUACAGGCAUCUGAGGUAGAGUGUUGUGGCACAACUAGAGCCAGAUGGUCGGACUUAGAGACAUUUAUACCCACUGAGGGGUGGGCAUGGCUGGGGACCAUGCCCAGGCUCUACUCACACUCCUUUCCACCCAGCAGCUGACUAGCCAAGAGCCCAGUGCUGCCGGAGAACCAGCCCCUGUGGGGCCAGAGGAAGAACAGAACAAAACCUUCUCCUCGCCAGACCUCCCCACCGCUGCCUGAGGAUGCAGUGCUGCCAGGCCCGAGCACAUUUGACCUGCUGCUUGUCUCAAGUCGGUUCCCAAAUGGGCAUCCCGGAUCCAUGAUCCUGCUGUGGAGCCUGCACAUGGACAGACAUCCAUCCACAAGGGCAGCACUGCAAACGUUCACAUGGUUUGACCCCAGUUUAGUCACACCUCACGCACGCUGUGAUAGUGUUUGGUAAUGACGGCUGUUUCCUCAUUUCAUGUUAUUGUUCUUUAAGAGAGAGAGAGAGAGAAAUGCUUUUUACUUGUUCUCUAUUUCAGAGCCUCUUACUUCUGCUUUGUUCACUAAAAAUGGGGCCAGACAAAUUAACUGCAGCAAUAAAUAUUAUUUUUACUA
This is a long non-coding RNA of Falco peregrinus (peregrine falcon), 1160 nucleotides long. RefSeq lists it as uncharacterized. The transcript is spliced from 2 exons. NCBI's taxonomy places the organism in Eukaryota, Metazoa, Chordata, Aves, Falconiformes, Falconidae. The record is from RefSeq and is a predicted model, not a curated record.